Mytilus californianus (California mussel) is the source of this 230-nucleotide long non-coding RNA. RefSeq lists it as uncharacterized. The record is from RefSeq and is a predicted model, not a curated record. Lineage: Eukaryota; Metazoa; Mollusca; Bivalvia; Mytilida; Mytilidae. The transcript has 4 exons.
AUCCUAUAUCAGGUGAAAGUUUUAUCUGGGCUCUACAUCCAUCCUAUAUCAGGUGAAGGUUUUAUCUGGGCUCUGCAUCCAUCCUAUAUCAGGUGAAGGUUUUAUCUGGGCUCUGCAUCCAUCCUAUAUCAGGUGAAGGUUUUAUCUGGGCUCUGCAUCCAUCCUAUAUCAGGUGAAGGUUUUAUCUGGGCUCUGCAUCCAUCCUAUAUCAGGUGAAGGUUUUAUCUGGU